Long non-coding RNA from Lineus longissimus, 980 nucleotides. RefSeq lists it as uncharacterized. Lineage: Eukaryota; Metazoa; Nemertea; Pilidiophora; Heteronemertea; Lineidae. The record is from RefSeq and is a predicted model, not a curated record. The transcript is spliced from 2 exons.
CAGUGGGGACAUUUAAUACUGCUACACCGGUUCAUUUGAAAGAAAUUCUGUCUCUUCGAAACAUCAUCCCUGAAGUCAAAUAAGUGAUGUCCAACUGCGUACUGAACCCGAACUCGAGAUUGUAAUGUAGUUUUGCGAUUGGCCGAGGGGCCGAACCAAUGGACUCAUUUACGGAUUAGACGCGCACAUCCCACGCAGAGUAAGAACGGAGACCUCUUCUCCGAACGGGCGGGAGACACUUAUUUUUCUUCAAAUCACCAUUGACUUUCUACUUGCAAAAUGGAGCUUGGAAAAAUGGCGUUUCUUCUCCUGCUGCUCUUGUUAGGGACACUUGACGCCUUCGAUAAGUUAGAUCAGGAACCAACAGAAAGACCGAUCGGAUUCCCGACACGUGUUUGCAAAGAACACGUAAUUCGAAAGGAUGCGACGCGGAUCUUCGGGGAAUCGCGCCAAAAUGACCGCUCGUCUUGCGCAAUGGAGUGUCUGAAGGUGAGGGGAAGGAGAUGCGGCAUUUACCAAUACUGUAAUAAUGGGAGCUGCACUCUCUACCGAUUUAGAUGGUGGCUUUCGUGGUGUGGGGGAAGGGCCCAGAUGAAGAAGGAAGGCUGUAAUCUGUACAUAAAGACAUGGCGCAGGAGAGGCAGGUAAACGACCUCGAGAUAACAGAAAAGGUCAAAGGUCAAGUGGAUGUUCAAGGUCGCAGUGCUGACAUAAGAAUAAUUACGAUUUUGGUAAUUCUCAAUUCUGGACUGGAGGAAUUCAUAUUUUCGCUCGCACAAUGGAAAAUUUUAAGGCCGUAGGCCAAAUCUAAAAUGGUGUCUUUCGUGACAACAUUUUGGGGGAAAAGUGAAAGAGCUUUCAUCAUGAUUUAUAGCAUUUUUAAUCUCCCCCCAAAAUGUUCAUUGUCACGAAUUCAAGAAGAACAACUGUUGAUAGUUUCACAGAACUGUUCUCCUUCAGGUUCAGGGACUGACUGAAAA